This 173-nucleotide ribosomal RNA is filed under the name uncultured Corynebacterium sp. RNAcentral's name for it is "partial 16S ribosomal RNA". It matches the Rfam family "Bacterial small subunit ribosomal RNA", at positions 338 to 521 of the family's 1533-position model. The record is from RNAcentral. Lineage: Bacteria; Bacillati; Actinomycetota; Actinomycetes; Mycobacteriales; Corynebacteriaceae.
CCUACGGGAGGCAGCAGUGGGGAAUAUUGCACAAUGGGCGCAAGCCUGAUGCAGCGACGCCGCGUGGGGGAUGAAGGCCUUCGGGUUGUAAACUCCUUUCGCUAGGGACGAAGCUUUUUGGUGACGGUACCUAGAUAAGAAGCACCGGCUAACUACGUGCCAGCAGCCGCGGU